This 450-nucleotide ribosomal RNA is filed under the name uncultured Glomeromycotina. Its description in RNAcentral is "SSU rRNA". It matches the Rfam family "Eukaryotic small subunit ribosomal RNA", at positions 569 to 1024 of the family's 1831-position model. Lineage: Eukaryota; Fungi; Glomeromycota. The record is from RNAcentral.
AGCGGCCGCGGUAAUUCCAGCUCCAAUAGCGUAUAUUAAAGUUGUUGCAGUUAAAAAGCUCGUAGUUGAAUUUCGGGAUCAAUACGUCGGUCGUGCUUCGGUACGUACUGGCGUAAUUGAUUUCUCCCUUCUGACGAACCAUGAUGUCAUUAACUUGGUGUCAUGGGAAAUCAGGACUGUUACUUUGAAAAAAUUAGAGUGUUUAAAGCAGGCUUUAGCUUGAAUACAUUAGCAUGGAAUAAUGAAAUAGGACGUUUGAUCCUAUUUUGUUGGUUUCUAGGAUUGACGUAAUGAUUAAUAGGGAUAGUUGGGGGCAUUAGUAUUCAAUUGUCAGAGGUGAAAUUCUUGGAUUUAUUGAAGACUAACUACUGCGAAAGCAUUUGCCAAGGAUGUUUUCAUUAAUCUAAGAACGAAAGUUAGGGAUCGAAGACGAUCAGAUACCGUCGUAGU